UACGUAGGGAGCGAGCGUUGUCCGGAUUUACUGGGUGUAAAGGGUGCGUAGGCGGCUCUGCAAGUCAGAAGUGAAAUCUAUGGGCUUAACCCAUAAACUGCUUUUGAAACUGUGGAGCUUGAGCGAAGUAGAGGUAGGCGGAAUUCCCGGUGUAGCGGUGAAAUGCGUAGAGAUCGGGAGGAACACCAGUGGCGAAGGCGGCCUACUGGGCUUUAACUGACGCUGAGGCACGAAAGCGUGGGGAGCAAACAGG
This 253-nucleotide ribosomal RNA is filed under the name uncultured bacterium. Its description in RNAcentral is "partial 16S ribosomal RNA". It matches the Rfam family "Bacterial small subunit ribosomal RNA", at positions 524 to 776 of the family's 1533-position model. The record is from RNAcentral.